UACGUAUGGAGCAAGCGUUAUCCGGAUUUACUGGGUGUAAAGGGAGCGCAGGCGGUCUGGCAAGUCUGAUGUGAAAGGCCGGGGCUCAACCCCGGGACUGCAUUGGAAACUGUCAGACUGGAGUGUCGGAGAGGUAAGCGGAAUUCCUAGUGUAGCGGUGAAAUGCGUAGAUAUUAGGAGGAACACCAGUGGCGAAGGCGGCUUACUGGACUGUAACUGACACUGAGGCACGAAAGCGUGGGGAGCAAACAGG
RNAcentral lists this ribosomal RNA (253 nucleotides) under uncultured bacterium. RNAcentral's name for it is "partial 16S ribosomal RNA". It matches the Rfam family "Bacterial small subunit ribosomal RNA", at positions 524 to 776 of the family's 1533-position model. The record is from RNAcentral.